UUUUUUUUUUAUCGAGGACCUUGAAUUUCAAUAUUAUUGAAAGCUGAACAGACAUGUACAUUUUGUAUAUAACUACAACCAGGGACUUUCUAUAAUAGUAUAUACUUAGUAUAGAAAGUUCUUGCUACAACGAAUGGGAGUGUUUAUCUACUAACGUAUUGAACAUAAUACUCUCGUAAGAUCGGGAGACAAUAACAAAAAUGAUCCAACAGCUGAUUCAGCCGGUAACGAAAUUUCCGAUAUCAUAAAAGAUUCCAAAAAAAAAAAGGGAACUUCCUCUGCUUAAUUGAGCCCCUAAAUAAAUUUGAAAUAUUGUAUAUGUGUUCUCGUACAAAAACUGAAUAACACUGAGACGGACGGC
Molecule: long non-coding RNA, 361 nt
Filed under: Mytilus galloprovincialis (Mediterranean mussel)
Lineage: Eukaryota; Metazoa; Mollusca; Bivalvia; Mytilida; Mytilidae
Source: RNAcentral